AAUCGCAUGCACUGGGGCUGCUUCAUCUCUUCUCUGCGAUCUCUCUCUUCGGAAAUCCAAGCUUCAUCUAUGUCACCAGAUCGGAAUCUGGGCGUCUCAUCUCUGCCCAGGCCGAGAUGCAACAGCCAGAGGAGAGGAGAUAGAGAGACAGCGGUGCUUCGAAGGCAAAAAGGUGUCAGUUCAGAAGACUAGGCCGAAGCUGACCUCGCCCACGUCCUCCGCCACUUCACUCGCGCUUUCAAGUACCGUGGCCUCGGAAACGAGCAGUUUUUGGAGGUUAGAGAUUUGGGGAACUUAAUUGGGUUGUACACCGAAUGGCACUCACGUUUGCUCCCAUAUUAUUCUUUUGAUCAGUUUGUUCAUGAGAUGAGGUCGAACAGGUUGCCGCCACUAGACAAGUAAAAAAAAUUGAGAGAAAGAGUUGCGAGUGGAGGAGACCCGACAAAGUUGCAUGAACCAGCAGUCGAACAAGGCUCUCCAAAUGAUCAACAGGGAGGAACCCUCUGAGACUUUGCAUGGUGAUAUGGUUGCUCCUAGUAUAUCUGCAGCAGGUAGUUUUCAGAAAGAAUUAACCAACCAAGUUCCAAAUAAUGAAGGUUGUGAAUCUAGUGAAAAUCAUGACAGAUGAACAGAGCACGAAUGAAAGCUAGCAGAUUUAAGGUCCUUGAGAAAGAUGCAGCUAGGCGCCGCCAAUUGCAGGUGGCUUGAGGUUUUGGUUUUCUUCUGUUGUGUUCUAAAUUAUGUUUCAUUGUGUUGAGCUGUGGAUGGCAAUUGAACUCAUGGAUAUAGGCAUCAAGGCAGAACGUUCUGUCUUGAUAUUCUUUCUUUGU
Non-coding RNA from Prunus mume (Japanese apricot), 830 nucleotides. Lineage: Eukaryota; Viridiplantae; Streptophyta; Magnoliopsida; Rosales; Rosaceae. The record is from RefSeq and is a predicted model, not a curated record.